UGUCUACAAGAGACAAAGCUCAACAGCGUCGACAAAUUCGUCACUACCUUUCUACGUGGCAAUAGACUUCAAAGUUUUGCACAACACCCAACGUUAGGGACUAGGGGAGGAAUUCUACUCCUAUGGGAUGACAAUGUUCUUGACAUCUCUGAUAUCACCGCAUCGACCUAUUGCCUCUCUGGCAUGGUCCGCAUCCAUGCAACCGACGUCUGCUUUAUGGUCACGUCUGUAUAUGGGCCAACUAAUCACGCUUGCAAAGAUGCUUUCUUUGCCGAGCUCAUCUCCCACAAGCCUCCCAAUGAUUGCUGGCUAGAACUUGGUGAUUUCAACCAAAUUUACCGCGCACGAGACAGAAACAAGAGAAAUUUUAACCGGAGUCGGAUCAAUCGGUUCUGGGUUGCAUUGCAAUCUUGUGAGCUUAAAGAAAUUCACCUGCAGAAUAGGCGCUUCACUUGGAGUAAUGAGUGGGACAACCCAACUCUUUGCAAGCUUGACUCCUUCUUCUGUAAUGUGGAAUGGGAUAUGGCCUUCAACACCCAUGUGCUUCAUGCUUUAUUGUCUUCCCUCUCCGACCAUUGCCCCCUCCUGCUUGUGGAUGACAAAGGGCCUAGAAGGCCAAGAUCUUUUAAGUUCGAGCACUUCUGGACUUCUUUGCCUGGCUUUUCCGAGGUGGUGCAAAAGGCAUGGGGUGAGCAUGUUGGGCACUCGGAGCCAUACCAAGUUCUAUACCACAAGCUCAAAAAAACCGCGACCCGGCUUACUGAGUGGAGCAAGAACCUAUUCUCCAAGGCAAAGGUCCAACUCCAUGCUGCCCUACUUGUGAUUCUUCACCUCAACAUUGCACAAGAGGCACGGGUCCUCUCUCCAGAGGAACGUGACAUAUGCUCGAGGCUCAAGCGGAGGGUGAUCAGUUUGGCGGUACUUGAGAGGACUAGGAAGAGCCAAUGUGCUUGGUUAGCCAACUUGAGGCAUGGGGAUGCAAACACAAAAUUCUUCCAUCGCCGCAUCAAUGCCAGAAGAAGGAAGAAUCACAUUCACCGGAUCAAACAUGCGCAUGGGUGGGUGACUGAGCACAAGGAAAAAGACAAGAUCAUCCAUGACCACUUCUCUGAGGUUAUGAGUAGGGGACGUAGUAGCAACAAAGACUUCAACUGGGAGGAGCUUGGGGUAGAGACCCAUGACUUUCAUGACCUGGGUAACACCAUCACGGAAGAUGAGGUUUGGGCGGCCAAAAAAUAG
This 1239-nucleotide ribosomal RNA is filed under the name Triticum aestivum (bread wheat). RNAcentral's name for it is "partial small subunit ribosomal RNA". Lineage: Eukaryota; Viridiplantae; Streptophyta; Magnoliopsida; Poales; Poaceae. The record is from RNAcentral.